This 205-nucleotide unclassified non-coding RNA is filed under the name Helotiales sp. RNAcentral describes it as "partial contains small subunit ribosomal RNA, internal transcribed spacer 1, and 5.8S ribosomal RNA". The stretch from base 1 to 46 matches the Rfam family "Eukaryotic small subunit ribosomal RNA", at positions 1786 to 1831 of the family's 1831-position model. Lineage: Eukaryota; Fungi; Ascomycota; Leotiomycetes; Helotiales. The record is from RNAcentral.
AAGUCGUAACAAGGUUUCCGUAGGUGAACCUGCGGAAGGAUCAUUACAGAGUAUCUUGCCCUUACGGGUAGAUCUCCACCCUGUGUUAUUGUACCUUUGUUGCUUUGCCGGGUUCGCCCGGCAAAGGACCCCAAACUCUGUAUUAUAUGUCGUCUGAGUACUAUAUAAAUAGUUAAAACUUUCAACAACGGAUCUCUUGGUUCUG